This 408-nucleotide ribosomal RNA is filed under the name uncultured bacterium. RNAcentral's name for it is "partial 16S ribosomal RNA". It matches the Rfam family "Bacterial small subunit ribosomal RNA", at positions 28 to 526 of the family's 1533-position model. The record is from RNAcentral.
GACGAACGCUGGCGGCGUGCUUAACACAUGCAAGUCGAACGAAGUGGCGAACGGGUGAGUAACGCGUAAUCAACCUGCCCUUCAGAGGGGGACAACAGUUGGAAACGACUGCUAAUACCGCAUACUGAAGGAGGGGAUUGCGUCUGAUUAGCUGGUUGGAGGGGUAACGGCCUACCAAGGGGAUGAUCAGUAGCCGGUCUGGGCGGGUGGACGGCCAAAUUGGGACUGGGACACGGCCCAGAAUCCUACGGGAGGCAGCCGGGGGGAAUCUUCCGCAAUGGACGAAAGUCUGACGGAGCAACGCCGCGUGAGGUAUGACGGCCUUCGGGUUGUAAAGCUCUGUUAAUCGGGACGCGGUACCGGAAUAGGAAGCCACGGCUAACUACGUGCCAGCAGCCGCGGUAAUUC